RNAcentral lists this ribosomal RNA (480 nucleotides) under uncultured bacterium. RNAcentral describes it as "partial 16S ribosomal RNA". It matches the Rfam family "Bacterial small subunit ribosomal RNA", at positions 28 to 523 of the family's 1533-position model. The record is from RNAcentral.
GACGAACGCUGGCGGCGUGCCUAACACAUGCAAGUCGAGCGAGUUGAUUCUCUUCGGAGAUGAAGCUAGCGGCGGACGGGUGAGUAACACGUGGGCAACCUGCCUCAUAGAGGGGAAUAGCCUCCCGAAAGGGAGAUUAAUACCGCAUAGGAUUGUAGCUUCGCAUGAAGUAGCAAUUAAAGGAGUAAUCCGCUAUGAGAUGGGCCCGCGGCGCAUUAGCUAGUUGGUGAGGUAACGGCUCACCAAGGCGACGAUGCGUAGCCGACCGGAGAGGGUGAUCGGCCACAUUGGGACUGAGACACGGCCCAGACUCCUACGGGAGGCAGCAGUGGGGAAUAUUGCACAAUGGGGGAAACCCUGAUGCAGCAACGCCGCGUGAGUGAUGACGGCCUUCGGGUUGUAAAGCUCUGUCUUCAGGGACGAUAAUGACGGUACCUGAGGAGGAAGCCACGGCUAACUACGUGCCAGCCGCCGCCGUAA